AGUGAACGCUGGCGGUAGGCCUAACACAUGCAAGUCGAACGGCAGCACAGUAAGAGCUUGCUCUUACGGGUGGCGAGUGGCGGACGGGUGAGGAAUACAUCGGAAUCUACUUUUUCGUGGGGGAUAACGUAGGGAAACUUACGCUAAUACCGCAUACGACCUACGGGUGAAAGCAGGGGAUCUUCGGACCUUGCGCGAUUGAAUGAGCCGAUGUCGGAUUAGCUAGUUGGCGGGGUAAAGGCCCACCAAGGCGACGAUCCGUAGCUGGUCUGAGACGAUGAGCAGCCACACUGGAACUGAGACACGGUCCAGACUCCUACGGGAGGCAGCAGUGGGGAAUAUUGGACAAUGGGCGCAAGCCUGAUCCAGCCAUACCGCGUGGGUGAAGAAGGCCUUCGGGUUGUAAAGCCCUUUUGUUGGGAAAGAAAAGCAGCAGGUUAAUACCCCGCUGUUCUGACGGUACCCAAAGAAUAAGCACCGGCUAACUUCGUG
This 492-nucleotide ribosomal RNA is filed under the name uncultured bacterium. RNAcentral's name for it is "partial 16S ribosomal RNA". It matches the Rfam family "Bacterial small subunit ribosomal RNA", at positions 29 to 507 of the family's 1533-position model. The record is from RNAcentral.